AUGACCUCAAAUCAAGUAGGACUACCCGCUGAACUUAAGCAUAU
This 44-nucleotide ribosomal RNA is filed under the name Kondoa yuccicola. RNAcentral's name for it is "partial 25S ribosomal RNA". The record is from RNAcentral. Lineage: Eukaryota; Fungi; Basidiomycota; Agaricostilbomycetes; Agaricostilbales; Kondoaceae.